AAGAUAAGCCUGCAUGUCUAAGUAUAAGCAAUUAUACCGCGAAACUGCGAAUGGCUCAUUAAAUCAGUUAUCGUUUAUUUGAUAGUACCUUAUUACAUGGAUAACCGUGGUAAUUCUAGAGCUAAUACAUGCUAAAAAUCCCGACUCACGAAGGGAUGUAUUUAUUAGAUUAAAAACCAAUGCCCCUCGGGGCUUUCAGGUGAUUCAUAAUAACUUCUCGAAUCGCAUGGCCUUGCGCCGGCGAUGGUUCAUUCAAAUUUCUGCCCUAUCAACUUUCGAUGGCAGGGUAUUGGCCUGCCAUGGUUACAACGGGUAACGGAGGGUUAGGGCUCGACCCCGGAGAAGGAGCCUGAGAAACGGCUACUACAUCCAAGGAAGGCAGCAGGCGCGCAAAUUACCCAAUCCCGACACGGGGAGGUAGUGACAAUAAAUACUGAUACAGGGCUCUUUUGGGUCUUGUAAUUGGAAUGAGUACAAUUUAAAUCCCUUAACGAGGAACAAUUGGAGGGCAAGUCUGGUGCCAGCAGCCGCGGUAAUUCCAGCUCCAAUAGCGUAUAUUAAAGUUGUUGCAGUUAAAAAGCUCGUAGUUGAACCUUGGGCCUGGCUGGCCGGUCCGCCUCACCGCGUGCACUGGUUCGGCCGGGCCUUUCCCUCUGGGGAGCCCUAUGCCCUUCACUGGGUGUAGUGGGGAACCAGGACUUUUACUGUGAAAAAAUUAGAGUGUUCAAAGCAGGCAUAUGCUCGAAUACAUCAGCAUGGAAUAAUAGAAUAGGACGUGUGGUUCUAUUUUGUUGGUUUCUAGGACCGCCGUAAUGAUUAAUAGGGACAGUCGGGGGCAUCAGUAUUCAAUUGUCAGAGGUGAAAUUCUUGGAUUUAUUGAAGACUAACUACUGCGAAAGCAUUUGCCAAGGAUGUUUUCAUUAAUCAGGAACGAAAGUUAGGGGAUCGAAGACGAUCAGAUACCGUCGUAGUCUUAACCAUAAACUAUGCCGACUAGGGAUCGGACGAUGUUAUUUUUUGACUCGUUCGGCACCUUACGAGAAAUCAAAGUUUUUGGGUUCUGGGGGGAGUAUGGUCGCAAGGUGAAUAG
RNAcentral lists this ribosomal RNA (1090 nucleotides) under Xylariaceae sp. RNAcentral describes it as "SSU rRNA". It matches the Rfam family "Eukaryotic small subunit ribosomal RNA", at positions 40 to 1143 of the family's 1831-position model. The record is from RNAcentral. Lineage: Eukaryota; Fungi; Ascomycota; Sordariomycetes; Xylariales; Xylariaceae.